AUCUGAAGCUUUGCUGCUACCAGCAGGCUUCCAAUAACUAUUCAUCAGGGAUUAUUUGCCUUAAUCUUCAGUUAUUAUUUCAGCUGAUGGUGUAAGAUCAUUAGCAGCCACGAUGCCUUGGCAAGAAAGUGGGUAGAGUGAAAGAAACAUAAGACUUCUCUUUGCUGCUAUUUUUCCAGUUUUUCAGUAAGUAACUUCAGGCAUGUGGUUUGUGCAAGGCUUCUGAGGGUUUGUGCAAGCUGUGCAGGAGGGAAAGCAGCAGUCUACCCCUUGGAUGGAUUAACAUCAGAGGCAUAAGCCAUCCUGCAGACCCCUACAACGUCCUGGCUGGGAUGUGGCUGUGGAUGAGAAGAGCUCAGAUACACAAUCACCCAACUUGAUGAGCACGUCCAAGUGUGCCCUGAUAUUUUUGAGGAGACUACUGGGACAAAACUGGAGGCUGGGUGAGCCCAUACCCCAGCUCUGCUUUGUUUAUUCAUACAGAGUUGGCCUUGGGCACUGAACUCAUGAGCACCAAUAAGGGACAGAGCCUUAGGCCUGAGCCUUGCACCAGAGGUUGCUGCACACCCAGCAGUAUGCAUGGUGUGCCUGCUCCUUGCCUGUUGCACCUUGCAGCUUAUACUGAUGCAAGCUGGAGUCAUGCAGGUUCAAGUCAACGGAUUCUUCCAAGAACUCAAGAUUGCAAGGUUUGCUCUCUGCUUUCAGGACAAGAAGGAUGGAUGGACAGACCGACAUUGCUUCAACAGCUUGCACACCACAGCCCCCAGUACAGCCAGGACAUGCCAUGUGCCUGCUGAAAAAUCCUGAGAACACCAGAAAUAAGAAUCAAACAAUGAACGUGACAACCUCUCGUCCUUCACUGGCUGAUGUAAAAAUGACUCUCUGCAGCAGGGACGUGGUUGGUGGGGAUGGUGGGCAUGGGUUGAUGGUUGGAUUUGAUGAUCUUAGUGCUACUUUCCAACCCGUAAUGAUUCUGUGAUCUUAUCAUUUUGUAAACGAGACACAUGGCUCUUUCUGCCCCAUGGCUGGUCCUUUGCAACCUCCAUGUAUCACUGCAUGAACAAACUGCUCCAUUGAAUGACCAGCACCAAACCCAAUCCACCUUGCUGCUUCCCAAGAAGUUUUAAGACAAGAAAGCUCCUCGUGGUGCUCCACAG
Long non-coding RNA from Gallus gallus (chicken), 1157 nucleotides. NCBI's taxonomy places the organism in Eukaryota, Metazoa, Chordata, Aves, Galliformes, Phasianidae. The record is from Ensembl.